This 420-nucleotide ribosomal RNA is filed under the name uncultured bacterium. RNAcentral's name for it is "bacterial SSU rRNA". It matches the Rfam family "Bacterial small subunit ribosomal RNA", at positions 355 to 775 of the family's 1533-position model. The record is from RNAcentral.
UAAGGAAUAUUGCGCAAUGGACGAAAGUCUGACGCAGCAACGCCGCGUGCAGGAUGACGGCCCUUUGGGUUGUAAACUGCUGUAGCAGGGGAAUAAUGGCCACCUCGGGUGGUUUGAAGGUACCCUGAAAGUAAGCGCCGGCUAACUACGUGCCAGCAGCCGCGGUAAUACGUAGGGCGCAAGCGUUGUCCGGAUUCACUGGGUGUAAAGGGUGCGCAGGCGGACUGGCAAGUCAGGGGUGAAAUCUCACAGCUCAACUGUGAAACUGCCUUUGAUACUGCUGGUCUUGAGUCAGGGAGAGGUUGAUGGAAUUCCAGGUGUAGCGGUGAAAUGCGUAGAUAUCUGGAAGAACACCGGUGGCGAAGGCGGUCAACUGGCCCUGAACUGACGCUCAGGCACGAAAGCGUGGGGAUCAAACAG